This 1324-nucleotide ribosomal RNA is filed under the name Myroides odoratus. Its description in RNAcentral is "bacterial SSU rRNA". It matches the Rfam family "Bacterial small subunit ribosomal RNA", at positions 81 to 1409 of the family's 1533-position model. Lineage: Bacteria; Pseudomonadati; Bacteroidota; Flavobacteriia; Flavobacteriales; Flavobacteriaceae. The record is from RNAcentral.
UUGCUUUCUAGAGACCGGCGGAUGGGUGAGUAACGCGUAUGCAACCUACCUUUUACAGGGGAAUAGCCCGGAGAAAUUCGGAUUAAUGCUCCAUGGUUUAUAAGAGUGGCAUCACUUAUAUAAUAAAGAUUUAUCGGUAAAAGAUGGGCAUGCGUAUCAUUAGCUAGUUGGUGUGGUAACGGCAUACCAAGGCGACGAUGAUUAGGGGUCCUGAGAGGGAGAUCCCCCACACUGGUACUGAGACACGGACCAGACUCCUACGGGAGGCAGCAGUGAGGAAUAUUGGUCAAUGGAGGCAACUCUGAACCAGCCAUGCCGCGUGCAGGAUGACGGUCCUAUGGAUUGUAAACUGCUUUUGUACGGGAAGAAAUGUAAUUACGAGUAAUUAUUUGACGGUACCGUAAGAAUAAGGAUCGGCUAACUCCGUGCCAGCAGCCGCGGUAAUACGGAGGAUCCGAGCGUUAUCCGGAAUUAUUGGGUUUAAAGGGUUCGUAGGCGGUUUAGUAAGUCAGUGGUGAAAUCUUGCAGCUUAACUGUAAAAUUGCCGUUGAUACUGCUAAACUUGAAUAGUAUGGAAGUAAUUAGAAUAUGUAGUGUAGCGGUGAAAUGCUUAGAUAUUACAUGGAAUACCAAUUGCGAAGGCAGAUUACUACGUACUUAUUGACGCUGAUGAACGAAAGCGUGGGUAGCGAACAGGAUUAGAUACCCUGGUAGUCCACGCCGUAAACGAUGGAUACUAGCUGUUCGGUCUUCGGAUUGAGUGGCUAAGCGAAAGUGAUAAGUAUCCCACCUGGGGAGUACGUUCGCAAGAAUGAAACUCAAAGGAAUUGACGGGGGCCCGCACAAGCGGUGGAGCAUGUGGUUUAAUUCGAUGAUACGCGAGGAACCUUACCAAGGCUUAAAUGUAGAUUGACAGGUUUAGAGAUAGACUUUUCUUCGGACAAUUUACAAGGUGCUGCAUGGUUGUCGUCAGCUCGUGCCGUGAGGUGUCAGGUUAAGUCCUAUAACGAGCGCAACCCCUAUUGUUAGUUGCCAGCGAGUAAUGUCGGGAACUCUAGCAAGACUGCCGGUGCAAACCGUGAGGAAGGUGGGGAUGACGUCAAAUCAUCACGGCCCUUACGUCUUGGGCUACACACGUGCUACAAUGGCCAGUACAGAAAGCAGCUACCAGGCAACUGGAUGCGAAUCUCAAAAGCUGGUCUCAGUUCGGAUUGGAGUCUGCAACUCGACUCUAUGAAGCUGGAAUCGCUAGUAAUCGGAUAUCAGCCAUGAUCCGGUGAAUACGUUCCCGGGCCUUGUACACACCGCCCGUCAAGCCAUGGAA